Molecule: long non-coding RNA, 3999 nt
Organism: Aedes albopictus (Asian tiger mosquito)
Lineage: Eukaryota; Metazoa; Arthropoda; Insecta; Diptera; Culicidae
Exons: 2
Source: RefSeq, a predicted model, not a curated record
CAACUGUUUUUCAACUUUGUACAUUAUCAUUGUUAGUAAAAAUAAUUGGCAUGGGCUAGAAAUGGGCAUGGAGAUGACAUAUCCGAAAAUCUUACAUAUUUGUAUCUAUUUUCAGAGCGUUUGAUUAUGUUUUUUUUAAUGGCUGAAAAAAAUAUAGAGAUGUAAUAAUUUAUUAUUCAUCUUUUUUUUAAUUAUCAAGUUGCUAUGGAUCAAGUCGUUGGCGAUACAUACUCAAUUUGUUCCAUUAGGUUCAUGAAAAAUUGUUCUAAUAAGGUUCACCUCGUCCUCCCAAAUUGCAUGGUGAUGCAAAACUGCAAGUACUUUGCUGGAGUAGUUCCAAUAAGGUUCACCACGUCCUCCCAAAUUGCAUGGUGAUGCAAAACUACAAAUACUUUGCUGGAGUCGUUCUGAAGGUCUUAGACGAUUUGUUCUAAUAAGGUUCACCACGUCCUCCAAAAUCGCAUGGCGAUGCAAAACUACGAGUACUUUGCUGGAGUUGUUCUGAAGGUCUUCGACGAUUUGUUUUAUUAAGGUUCACCACGUCCUUCCAAACUGCAUGGUGAUGCAAAACUGCAAGUACUUUGCUGGAGUAGUUCUGAAGAUCUUCGACGAUUUGUUCUAAUAAGGUUCACCACGUCCUCCAAAAUUGCAUGGCGAUGCAAAGCUACGAGUACUUUGCUGGAGUUGUUCUGAAGGUCUUCGACGAUUUGUUUUAUUAAGGUUCACCACGUCCUUCCAAACUGCAUGGUGAUGCAAAACUACACAUACUUUGCUGGAGUCGUUCUGAAGGUCCUUGACGAUUUGUUCUAAUAAGGUUCACCACGUCCUCCCAAAUUGCAUGGUGAUGCAAAACUACAAGUACUUUGCUGGAAUUGCUCCAGAGAGAGGUCCAAGACGAUUUGUUUUAUUAAGGUUCACCACGUCCUCCAAAAUUGCAUGGCGAUGCAAAGCUACGAGUACUUUGCUGGAGUAGUUCUGAAGGUCUUCGACGAUUUGUUCUAAUAAGGUUCACCACGUCCUCCAAAAUCGCAUGGCGAUGCAAAUCUACGAGUACUUUGCUGGAGUUGUUCUGAAGGCCUUCGACGAUUUGUUCUAAUAAGGUUCACCACGUCCUCCUAAAUUGCAUGGUGAUGCAAAACUACAAAUACUUUGCUGGAGUCGUUCUGAAGGUCUUAGACGAUUUGUUCUAAUAAGGUUCACCACGUCCUUCCAAACUGCAUGGUGAUGCAAAACUGCAAGUACUUUGCUGGAGUAGUUCUGAAGGUCUUCGACGAUUUGUUCUAAUAAGGUUCACCACGUCCUCCCAAAUUGCAUGGUGAUGCAAAACUACACAUACUUUGCUGGAGUCGUUCUGAAGGUCCUUGACGAUUUGUUCUAAUAAGGUUCACCACGUCCUCCUAAAUUGCAUGGCGAUGCAAAUCUACGAGUAGUUUGCUGGAGUUGUUCUGAAGGUCUUCGACGAUUUGUUUUAUUAAGGUUCACCACGUCCUCCCAAAUUGCAUGGUGAUGCAAAACUACAAGUACUUUGCUGGAAUUGCUCCAGAGAGAGGUCCAAGACGAUUUGUUUUAUUAAGGUUCACCACGUCCUCCAAAAUUGCAUGGCGAUGCAAAGCUACGAGUACUUUGCUGGAGUAGUUCUGAAGGUCUUCGACGAUUUGUUCUAAUAAGGUUCACCACGUCCUCCAAAAUCGCAUGGCGAUGCAAAUCUACGAGUACUUUGCUGGAGUUGUUCUGAAGGUCUUCGACGAUUUGUUCUAAUAAGGUUCACCACGUCCUCCUCCCAAAUUGCAUGGUGAUGCAAAACUACAAGUACUUUGCUGGAGUCGUUCUGAAGGUCUUAGACGAUUUGUUCUAAUAAGGUUCACCACGUCCUCCAAAAUCGCAUGGUGAUGCAAAACUACAAGUACUUUGCUGGAAUUGCUCCAGCGAGAGGUUUAAGACGAUUUGUUUUAUUAAUGUUCACCACGUCCUCCAAAAUUGCAUGGCGAUGCAAAGCUACGAGUACUUUGCUGGAGUCGUUCUGAAGGUCUUAGACGAUUUGUUCUAAUAAGGUUCACCACGUCCUCCCAAAUUGCAUGGUGAUGCAAAACUAUAAGUAUUUUGCUGGAGUCGUUCUGAAGGCCCUUGACGAUUUGUUCUAAUAAGGUUCACCACGUCCUCCCAAAUUGCAUGGUGAUGCAAAACUUGAUGCAAAGUACUUGUAACUUUGCUGGAAGGAACAAGUUCUUUGCUAGAGUUGUUCUAGAGAAAGGCCCAAGGCAAUUUGUUCUGUUAAGGUUCUGGUUCACCACGUCCUCCUAAAUUGCAUGGUGAUGCACUAAAUUCACUUAUAAAAAAUGCACUUCUGCAGCAGUUCCAGAGGCCCAAAAAGGUUAGUUUUAUCUAGAUUCACCAGGUUCACCUAAGUAGUAGUGCGAUGCUAAAAAUUAAUAUGUUCACUUUUGAAGUUGUUCCACAGGUCCAUCAAAAUUUAUGCUAAUUUGGUUCACAACGUCCUUUCAUGAGUGGUGAUGCGUAUAUUUCUGAAAUCAUUCACCUCGACGAUUAACUUCUGAAGUUUUCCCUGAGAUUCAAGAACAAAUCUUGUUCACCCUCAUUCUCUAACGUAACGUAAUUCGAAGGUAAAUCGUUCGCAUUCCCGUUUUCGCCAGCAAAACCAAAUGGACUAGGGAUUCGGAAGGAACUCACCAGAUCAAAUCGGAAGAUAUACAAGAAACUCCGGAGGAAUCUCCAGAUUUAAUCCUAGAUAAUCAUCGAAGCAGGUCUCUGAGGAAUUUCCAAACGGGCGACUGGAGAGUUUGCUAUCCCGGGGAUAUCUUCAAAAUAACUACAAAAGAAACGUAUCAGCUUUCUUUUUGAAUUAUUUUAUUAUUACCUUCAUCUUUACUAAACAGCUUUAAAUUCCUUCCAAAAUCACUAGUCUGCUCCUGAAAUUUAUGGCCUUCCGCGUCGGUGGUCCACUUUCGGGUGAGAAAUGGAUACCUACUUCUUAUAAACGAUCCCCCCAUCAAAAACUUUGUCGGCGUGGGGAACUCGAAGGGAAGUCCAGUUCUUGGUCCAGUUAUGUGUAUAUAUAUGAGGUAACUACAAAGAUACAAGUUGGUGUCGUUCACAAGCUGCAGCAAGACCCAUUUCACACGAGUUUUGUUUCGACUUCUGUUGCCUUCGGAUUUUAAAUACAUUGUAGAAGAGUGACGCUCAACUGAAUUGUUGGUUGGAGGCGACACAAUGUCGAUCCUUUAACGACAUGGAUGUUUUUUAGCCGGGAAUUUGCACAUCUAUCCUGCGGAACUUCCUCCGGGUGAGGUAUACUGCUGUUGAUUUCGUACCCGCUUCCGAACGGACUUUUUCAGUUCCAUUGAAAUAAACUACGUUUUCGUUUUGUAUAGCGGACCCCACACGAGUGUCAAUACUUCAUCAAAACCGGUACUUUUUGUCGGGAUUUUCAUCAAACCUUCAGCUCAAUCGAAAGAUUUUCCUAAAAUACAUUGAAAAAAUCAUAAGUUUGACGAAAAUUCCGUCAAAAACUACCGAUAUUGAUCAAUUAUUGAGGAUCAUGUGGGGCCCGCUUAUCACUGGGAUAUAUCGCUAGUGCUGGCGUAAGCUUCUGAGCCGUGGAUUGAUGCGAUGAACAGACUUGAUCUUCGAGCGCCUCUGGUGAGGAAUCUAGGUAGGUAGUUCGUGCAGCAGCGUUCCGUAGGAAAUCGAUGAAGAUGUUCGAAGACGCCAACACACUUUCCUUCCGUCCGUUCUUCCUAUCAAUACUCCGUUUAGUGGUUUACUUUGACGACUUUUGGGUUGCGCACCUACAUGGAAGAAAUUAAUCUUUAAAGCCUCCGUUGCUAAUGCUGUCUUUCCGCUGUACUUCUUCUGGCACUCGUUCACUACGGUAGUUCAUUGUUCAACUAACCUAGUACGAUCACGAUCCAAGAUCAGCACUAAAUGAAACCCGGAAGUUCCCCGAAAUAGCGCGAAAAGGAAAGAUUAAACGAGAUCUCC